UCCAAAUACCUUUAUUUUAUUCAUUGAUUCCUCUACUUCCAAAAAAAACAUAUAAUUGAGAUGAGGUGGUGGGAGACACUACCCCACAUCGACUACUAGCAUACUAAUUGGCCCUUUUUCUAGCCUUACCUCUCCAAUACAAGUAUUCCUUUUGAAUUAAAUUGUAUGAAGGCUAAUGCUUUGCCCUCAAGAUCGCACAACGAGCUUCAAUUAAAAGAACAGAUCGCAUGAUAAAGCAUCAAUACAAGAACUCUAAGGGAAACACCUAGCAAACUACAUAUCCAGUCUAUUUGACGAGGAAAAUUAGAGAUUAAACAGAUAGUAGUGAUGUAUUUAUGGAGAGCGGCUGCCAUUCCACUUUUAAAACUCUGAACUUCAACACAGUAAUACUUCUCAGAAGAAAAUAUCAUGUUCCUUAUCUGGGAAACUUCACAAUUUAACACAGAUAUAUCACUGCAAAAUUUUCUUAUUAAUGGCAACCACGAGCCCAAUGCUCAUCCAAAUCAUUAACAUUUAAAUUUCGUCUGGUCUACAUGCACGGCUGGGGCCAACCUUACUAGUCCCUGCAAAUACAAAAACAAAUUGCUGAUAUGAUUUCUAUGAAUAAAUAAGGUGCAAAGCAGUGCCUGAUGCUAAACUUGUCGGAUGCUAAACUUGUCGGCACGUAUAUGAAAACAGAAGACACCAUUCACUCACACUCACACUCACACAUGCAUAUGAUGCUUACUUCGUAAUGUCAUCAAGGUGGUCAUCAAAGUCUACCACAUCCUCCCACUUCUUGGAUGAAAUAUAAUCCAAUAGAACAGCAUUUGCAGCUGGUUCCUUAGUUGUCAAUCGGCAGCCUACAUCUGAUCCAGCUAGCUUCCAGUUCUUGGAUGCAUCCCUUGUAUAAAGCUAGUACAAGAAGGGAACAAAUGUACUUAGACGCUUGACUGAAAAUUCAUUAAAUGGGGGGUAAAUUGGGCAAUUAGCAAAGUAAACAUAAAAAAUUGACGGAAUGACACCAUUUGAAAAUGUUAUGGCGAAACAACGUACUUUCACCUUGUCGCGUUUCAAAAGCGCGGCAUUUACUUUUACUAAAUGUGUCUAUUCUUAAGCGUGACAAGAUAGUUGUCAAGCUUCCAAAUAACAACAUUUAGUAAAUGUAGCGCUUUUGAAGCACGACAAGGUGAAAACCGAUCAACCAAUUCGUAAUAGUCAGUAAAACCGAUCGACUAAUUCCGAAAAUAAUAAGAAAAAUCUCAAAAUUGCCAAAAACAGGAGGCCUCAGCGAGAUUUUUUAUAUCUAGAGAUAUAGCGACACAAUGAUUGCUAUAGAGAAAACAACUUCUCGAAACUCCUAUAAAAAUUUGAGUGCAAUCCAAUGGUCGAAUCAAAUGCUAUGGUUUUUUUGAGCCGUUAUUCUGGUCUAACGCGACCAGACCUCCUCUUGGGCCUAGAACUGUCCCACUGAUCAUAAAUGCAUCUGCUAGGUCAUCCACGUAAUCUGAUUGAGGCAGAUCCUCAUUUAGUUAUGACAAACCCACACUUGACUGCUUAGAAUCACCCGUUAUCACAAGCUCGACUACAUCAUUGACAUUGAAAAAUAAAGGAGAACUACUGUAUGAAUAAUAACUUUCUGUUAUUUUAGUUGGAGUCUAUUUUUUAGUUUACAAGACAAAGAUGUAUAUUUUGACUCAAAAAACAUAUUUGAAAAAAAAAGUUCAUUAAAUAAUGGUUUUUAUGUGGAAAGGUCGACCUGUUAAUACAACUAGAUCCAACGGGGCGACCGGUUGAGUCAAAUGAUUGGACUUUUACCUUGUCACACUUUAGAAGCGCGACAAGGUGAAAGUGUGCUAUUUCACCAAAUCCUUUUCAAAUAGUGUCAUUCUGCCAAUAUUUAACAUUUAUUGUGCUAAUUUGACAAAAAACCUUAAAUGGGACCAUCAUACUAGGGUUCAUCUAUCAAUUAGUGAGUGGUAUGAGUUAAUGGUUGGCGCUAUGGUAGGGGAGCGAGAUUGUUUAAUUUUUUAACACAGCAGUGAACUAUUACAGAAUAAUCACAAAAGUAACUGUCGGAAUGCUAACAAAGGAGAAACCAAGAAAUUAAUGAAAUCUCAAAAGAAAAGUUCAUACAGAUAACUACACCAAAAACAUGUCAUGUUGCUGAUGGCAUGAAAAAGACCUUAGAUCAGUAAACACAGACAAGUUACUUGUUGCAUAUCUGUAAAAGGUAACUUAACAGAUGAUCAUUGAUAUUUCAACAUAUAUAUAAAUCACUAAAUAUGGAUAAACAAUUAAUUCUGGCAUGUAAGUAGAGUUAUAGUUAUUAUCAAUAGAGCCAUUAACUUCCUAUCAGACCAUAGAGCAGCAAUGGAGAGAUCACAUGAGAGUUUAAAAGAUAGUUGAAGAGAAGUAUCGAUGCCCCCAACACAAGGUAAUUUCAAGCUUCACACAGAUGCUGCUAUCUGCUCUGAUGCUCAGAAAACAGGAAUGAUGCGCAAUUCAUGAGCACAAGGGAAAUUCUUAAGCUAGUCACAACCAGAGGAGCGCAAGCAAGAUGAUUCCAGAAAUAGGAGAAGCAAUGGCAAUUGCAUUUUGGAAUCCAUACAGUAAGAAAUGCAGAUUACACAAGCCUCCUGGUGGGAAAUGAUUUUGUAAUAGUUGAUGCACAACAAGGAAUAACUGUCAAUUGAAUUCACUCUAUUGAUAGAGUACAUCGUGUGUUGCCUGCCUCCCUGGAACUUUUACAGGAUUCUAAUUGCAAAUGGGAAGCCAAUGGAGUGGCUCAUGACUUUUUUGAGAAUCAGCAUGCACACCAUUGAGAUUCAGACAACACAUUGUUUUUGUACCUCAUGUAAUGAAAGGUCUACUUUCCUGAAAAGAGUAUAUAAAAGUCACAAAUGCUUAGGCACACAAGUUUAUUUUGUUGACAGUUUUGGACCUAAUUUUCCCACAUGGAUCUUUUUCGAACUGUUAUUCACCAGAAUUAAAUGGAAUCGGUUUUUUAUUGCUCCUUGUCCUGGCAACAAGUAGUUCCUGUCAAAACCCAUUAGAGGUAUAACUCCCUCCCUAUCAAACACAGGUGCGUGCAGCCACAUUGAGAACUCAAUAUACCUCUAUUGGACAGGAACUCUCCACUAAAUCAAGUCCCAACUCCAUACAGUUUCUGAAAACAAGUCGGAGACCUCACAAAUCAAAGAUCAGAUUCUCAGCUGCUUUAGAUGAACAAGGAUUGAUGCAUGCAGCUAUAUGGUGGGUUAGCACUGCAUUACAAAAUGAUGAUUAAAUUCUCAAAUGUAGGUGAUACAAGAACUAAGAUGUUAUGAAUCAUGACAUCCUGCUACUGCAACUGACUAAGCAACAUUAUUCAUGCUCAUCUCUUGACAUGCCUGCUCUUUCGCACCAAGUAUCAUGUUUAUAUUACUCAAACUUCACUAUGAUUACAUAUACAGCCCUCUAGCCAUUUCCCCAGUACUUCUUUCCCUAAACCAUCACGUUCUCCUUUCCCUCUUUAUGACUGAUCUGUCUAGCUGAUAAUAAACAAUAUGUUCCUUCAAUUCCUAUUCUUGGCAUGUAUUCUAUCAAGCACAUCAAAGCCAGUGUAACAACCAUUUCCCUUCUUACCAGAACAAUCCAGCACAGUCCCUUCUCACAGAUGUUGCUUCCUUAAUCUAACUAACUAUCCCCAUAGGAUCUUCUUUCAUGCAAUUAACUACACUCAAUUCUGCCAACAAUUCAAAUGCAAUUGCCUACUACAGUUCCCAAUUUGUUUAACUCUAACCAGACCAUUUCUAAGCUCAUUAGUGAAUUAACACCCCAAUUGUUAUUGGACCAAAUUUUCCUUAGAUCCUUUUGUGAUUACAAACUAGUAAAAUUAGAUACAAAUGCAAACUGAGAGCUUCAUAUUCAAGUAAUAGCUAAUACUAGAAACAAUGUCCAAAUACUAACAUAUCAAGGACCCAAGUUGUCCAUAAACCAUAACACAGAACAAAUUCUCACACAGCACAACCCUCUCUUUUAUCUUGAUGGUUGUGUAGUGAUGCCAAGUCAAGCGGCUCAUGAAUGUGUUAGACUAGGCUUUAGCUCUCAGGAUAAGAAACUGUUCUUAGAGACUAUGCCUGGGGUUAUCAACACUGAUGUAAAUCAUUUGAAUUUGAAAUGGAAGCCUAUGUUUCUAUUUGAGAUUGAGAGAGAGAGAGAGAGAGUUCUUGGGGAAAAUUAAAUUCAGGCAAGGUUAUGUAUACAUUGAAAUUGGAGAGCAAAAAGCAUCAGACAUCAAGUAUAGUAGACUGGUAGGCUUACAGAAAACUUCACGUUGAUUUGCAUUUCUUUCAUUGUCACAAUGUGCAACAGCAUUUUUAGACACCCCUCAGUGCUCUUCAAUUAGUCUUACAGCAACCAUCAAAAUCAAAUAUUUUUUGAGACUCAUAAAGACUAAUAAAUUAUUAUUCCCCUAGAGUUCAUGCCACUAGAUGUCCUGUCAACUCGAAGAUGUUUGAACCUACAUUGCCAGAUGAGUAACAUUGUACAACCAAUUCCAUGCUAGAUUUGUUUCUUCCCCCUCUUUCCCUCCCAAACAGCCCAAAUCAGUAGAUAAAACACCAUGAAAAACAACAUAAAUUGGAUUAAUUCAUUCGUUGCAGAAUAAAUCAUAGGCAUGCCAUUGACCCUUGGCAAAGUGGCCAUAAACUAUAGUCCUAUCUGUGGAUAUAUCAAAAGCAGUGGUUCUAAAGCCACUCAAAAGGUUUUAGUAGAAUAAUGUAAUAUUUGGUGCAUAAUUUAUCUUCUCAGUCACUGCAUAGCCAACCAAAGGCUCUUUUAUGAUGGAACCACCACUUGCUAAAUGUUCCCAGCAAACAUUAGAUGUUUCAGUUCAUAAAUGUCUUCCAAAUAACACAACCGGGAUAAGACAAAGCUACUAACCUGCAUAACAGGGAGCCCAUCUUUCCCCUUUGGCAAAGCUUCAAGCUUUUUGUUAUCUAACUGCAUAGAAAAGGUUCAAAAUGAAAGCCAGCAAGAAACAACAGACAAGAGCAUCAUCAUCUACAACAGAAAGAAUACAUACCAAAAGAAUGGCAGCUUGGGGAAAGUAGCGAUAGAUGUGAUCGCCAAUAUUCUUUGCAACAUUACCAAGCUCCACAUCAUCAGACCUCUCAUUUGCGUGAAAGUAACCCACUAUACCCAAACCUCGAGCGCUAUAAUACUCCUCUAUCUAUUCACAAACAAUUCAAGAAACCCAUUUUUUUUUUAGAAAAAAAAAUUCAACAUUGUCAUCUCAUAAGUAUAAAUCAAUCCCUGAACUUUUGAAAUUAUAUCUAAUAAGUAUAUGUUAAUUACAUUGAAUUAACAAAGGAUCUUACUUUUAUUAACCAAAAGUGAAAAAGAAAAUAUUGAUUACUAGUUGUUUACCAUGAUGAGAGAGAUCUCGAGAGGAGGAAGGAGACCUAGGUGGUUGUGGAACAGAGGGACAGAGUCGAUGAUCUGGACACCAUCGUCACAGGAACUGCCAACGAAAACCCCGUUGACGGCGGAGGUUUUGUGCUUGAGAGAGUGGAGUACUAGUUUUAUGUAGGCGUUUUGUGAAAUCUCGUAUCUCAAUUCACCACCACUACCACCCAUCGUAUUUUUUCCUUCUCAAUUCGAGAAAAUUGCCUCGUAUCUUGGCUGGGUUUGUCUGUCUAUCGCUCAGUCUCAAUUCUCCAACUCUUUAGCAUUCCGUAAUCAGUCUUGGCUUAAUUCUUCGUAAUAGGUGUUUUUUCACAACAUGUAGCAACUAUAUAUUUCUUUAUUUUUUAUUUUUUUAACUUUAAAAUAUAUAUUUUUAUAUGAUUUUAAUGAUCUAAUAUCCAAAAAAAAAUAAAAAAAAUAAAAUUUUAAAGAAUAAAAAAUAAAUUUGAAAAGCAAAACCUCCUACCUCCUUAAAUAAAUACAUAAUAUCUCCUUAAACUAUACAAUUUGGAUCGAGAUCAAAACCCAAUACCUUGAAUUUAUUCCUGAUCCAAAUCCCAACAUUAGUCCCAACCUAAACCAUACCCUACACCAAACUUAGCCCGAACUUCAAACGUCUCAAAUCAACUUUCAUAUAUAUCUUGAUGUAGAUCAUAAAUCUCGAGCAUCCUUGACUUGAACAUGGUGCAUCUCAAACCCUAAUAAUGGCCUAGCUAUAACUAGAAGCACCUCAGACUUUGUCUUACACCAACUCGAACCCUAAUUGUUAUAAACCUGGCCCUUACCCAACUUUUGAGCGCUUUAGACUAGGUCCCAAAGAAACCUUGAUUGCUCAAGUUGACUCUUUAACCUCCUAAACCAAACCUUGAUUUCUAUGACAAACUCUUAAGCAUCCUGGUUCGGGGUCCCAACUUGAAUCCUAAGCACUCUGGUUUGGGUCUUAACCUGAACUUUAUGCACCCCAAACAAGGUCUUGGCCUAAAUCUCGAUUGCUCUGAACCUAGUUCGAACCAACUUUUGGUCACCCCGAACCAAGUGUCAGUCUAGAUCCUGGACACCUUAGACAUGGUUUAGAACCAAAUCUUAAGCCUUCUAACCCAAUUCUUGACCCAAACCCAAAACUUGGUCCUAACUAAAUCUCGAGACCCCAAACCUAGUAAUAGCCUAAAUGCUUGAGCGCACUGAACAUGCUCUUGAAUUGAACCCGAGGCACCCUGCACCAAGUCUUAGCCAUAACUCGAGAUAUAAUCCACUAAAAAUUUUAAAACCAUUUUUUUUUAAAAUUUCAUAUUUUCUUUCCAAAUAUUUGAAAAAUAAAAACAAAAAAAAAUACCAAAUAUCUUCAUUUUUAAUACUAGAUUCUCUUGAAAGUCUAAAAUAACACCUAAGAGAGGGUGAAUUAGGUUUUAAUUGAAUAUUUGAUACUUUAAGAAAUUUAAUCAUUUUAAACCUUCAAAUUUUUGGUAACAAAUAUCAAAUAUGAAAUGCACAAAUAAAAUGAGAUAAAGAUCAAGGGAGACCUACCAAGUUUAUAAUGGUUUGGACAAUCACCUACUCUACUCGUUGAAUCAUCAUUCAAAUAUUCACUAUUAACUUAUGAUUUUCUUAACGGGUGUGACCUUACCAAUACACUACUUUUUUUUAUGGGAACAAGAUUAGAAAACCUUUCACUCAUAAUCUUUUUUCAAGAUCAAGAUCUUAACUUUUCAAUGGCUCACAACCAAAUAUUUUUUUAAAUGAUUUAAGUGCUACUUACACUUUCACAAUAAAUUUUCACUCUUAAAGAUUUUUCACACCUUACAAUAAAAGGAAAUAAAUAUAAUAGAUUGAACUCAGGUCUUUAUGGAAUGUAAUCUAUCUCAAGAAUGUGGAAGGGAUGAUUGAUGCAAAUAAAGUUUAAAAUUUUGAGAGAAUUGUGAAAAUAAUAAAAGCUUUUAGAUUAAAGAGUUUAUAAGCAUAAAGUGUUGUAAGGUAAUUUACACGAGGUGAACAAGUGGUAUUUUUAGGUGAAAAUCAUCGCAUAGCCAUUACUCUCACUAAGAAAGAUGGAGUAAAAUAUUUUGAAUUUUUAAUGUAUUCUUCCAUCUAUUAAAAAAGACUAUAACACAUUUUUUAGAGAAAAUGAGUUUUCACAAGAGCUUUUGAGUGUAAAAUAAAUUAAGUAUAACUCUUUUAAAUUAUAAGUUUACCACUUAGUUAAAAAUAAAACAGUGUGAUCAAAGUGUAAGAGAUCAUUUAUUAAGUUUAUGUAAUCUAUUUAAAAAUAAUUUGAGUGAUAACAUCAAAAUAUAUGAUAAAAGAUUUUUUUCAUGAGGUAUUUUUCACAAUGUAUUGAUUUCGAUAAUGAUAAAAUUUUUGGAUAAUAAACUUGGCAAUGAAACUAUAUUUUGUGAUGUCAAAUUAAAUUAUAUAAAGACUUGAUUACAUGAAUUUAAGUUUAAACAUCUUCAAAUCAAGAUUGCGUUCAAGGAGUUCAUUUUGAUUCUAUAUGAUAAGGAGAAAUUCCUAUAACAUUAAAACUUUUGAUACACACACUAGUUAAAAUAUCAUGUAUUACUACAAAGAGCAACUUAUCAGAAAAUAUGUGUAAGUGUGAGAAAAUGUUUUUUUAAUCAUAAUUACUUGGAAUUUUAAAAUUCUAUGUUUUAAUAACAAUUUAAUUUUAUAGAAAUGUUUUUUUUAUAUAUAAUUCAGCAACAAUUAUAUGAAUAAACACAAACAUACAAAUAUAAAAUACUCACUUAAUGAACAAAAUAAAGAUUGUUUUGAAUUAUAUAUGUUAAAAUCCAUAACUAUAUCUAAAAGAACUAACUUUUUAUUGAAACAUUUGAUUAGAAAACACUUUAAAUUUUUAAAUAUCAUCUCAUGUAUUAAAAUGAUUUUAUUGGUAGAGACUAAAUAUAUUAUCUUAUUUAAGAAAAUUACAUGAAAAAAAUUCUACUCCAUAUAUAGAAAUGUUUUUUUUUUUGUGUCUUUGAGAAAAGCUUAACUCCAUUUAAGGAAAUGAUUGAUUUAUUUAAAUGACAUAGCCUAACUAUGUUUUACAUACGUAUAAUACUAUUAUAUUUAUAGCUAACUAUUUAUUAUAUACAUAUUUAUGUAUCUCAUAAAUCCUUAAAUAAUAUAAAGGGAUAAUUAUUAAUAAAUAAAAAUCAGUUCAAUUAAGAAACCCUAGAAUUCUCUCUUUCUCCUCUUUAUAAACCUCUUUAUAUAUUAUUUUUUUGGGCUAUCAUCAAUGACUAUUUCAUCAAGGACAACCCCUUCCUUUUUUCUCUUAUAAUUUUUUUUUAUUUUUCUAAUAAUUCCAGAUCGAGUUUUUGAAUCUAAUAUUUCCAAUAAUUAUAGAUUUAGGUCUAUAUGAUUUAAAAUAUAUGAUUUUAUUUGGUUUGUUGUUCUUAAUAUGUGAGGUUUUUGUUGUUGAUUUGUGUCAAGUAAAGGUUUGUUCAAAUAUCUAUAAUGAUUAAGAGCAUGAAUUUAUAGUCUUAGAGCUCAUUUGUAGUGUUAUAGUUGUUAUUUUUUAAAAUACUUUUUACUUAGAAAUGUAUCAAAAUAAUUUUUUUUUAUUUUCAGUUUUGAUAUCAACAUGUUAAAACGAUUUAAAAACAACAAAAAAAAAAGUUAAUUUGGAGCAAAGAAAAAAAUAAAAUUUUUAAAGUUUUUUCAAAAACAUUUUUAAAAUGCAAAAACAAACGAGCUUUUAAGAAGAUUUCAAGUGAUGUGAUUGAAUAAGAUGUUGAUGAAAAGAGGUUUUAAUAGCCUAUCGUGUUCUUGUUGCAUCAAUCAAAUAAAGCAUUGUAGUGUGACUUAUUUCUCAUAAGUGGUGGAAGUAGAAAAUGAGAACUUGAGGGCUCAUUUGAAUGUUUGUGAAAUACAAAGGAUGAGACGUUACUUGGAAGGUCAAUGGUUUAUACUAUAGCGAGAAAGUCUUUUUUCACUUGAUUAUAAUCGAUUACCAUGCUUGCAAUCUCUAUGUGAGUCUUGGGGAAAUUAUAAUUUCUAUGUUCUAUUUUCAAUAUUAAUAAAAAUAUUUUUUACAAAAAGAAAUUAUAAAUAAAACCCGGACCUAUGAAAUUUUUCACAAGUUAAUCCCCGACUUUUGAAAUUUUGCAACAAGUAGUACAUCAUAUUACAAUUAUAUAUUGACAUUGUUUAAAUAUGAAGAAUUAUAUAUAUAAAAGAAACAAUUGAGGAAAAUAUUGAUGUAAAUAGGGAUGAAAAUCCAUUUUAAGAGAGGAUAAAUCAUAAAAUAUUAUUAUUACCUAGUGUAUUUACAACAAGCAUUUAAGCAUCUCUAGUAGUGCAGCGGGUGUGUAUAUAUAUGCCUUGUUAAAAUUGCAUUUAAGUGUGUUUGGCUUGAAAAAAUAUUAAAUUAAUUUUUUUAAUACUUUCUGAUUGUUUUGAUGUGUUGAUGUAGAAGAUCACCCCACACAACUAGUCUUAACAAUUCGAACAUGGAUUCUUGGAUUGGCAGUGCAUCCUUCUUUCCUUUGUGAAUCAAUUCUUUCAUUAUCAUUUUAAUCAACUAUCUAUCGGUUCAGUUACAAUACAAAUUCUUGUUCUUCUUAUAGGAAAGUUCAUGGUUGCAAAACUUCCAAAGAAACAAAUUUCGAACCCGUUUACAAAAUGAUCAUUUUCAUUGAAUGCAAGGCUUUUUAGUAUGGAAGAACAUGUAUUGAUCACCAUAUUUCCAACUAUGGAGCCGGUGGUGUAUAUACAAUGUAUAUGAUUACAAUAAUUAAAGCCUUCUACCACAAAGGACUUCAUCCUGUUGAAAAUUAAACUCGAUUUCUGGUUUGUUCUGAAGAACAGAGGAACCGGUCAACCGGUUGGAUUAAAUAAAUCGUUCAACCGGUUGAGAAAUGGUCAAUCGGUUCGGUCGGCAUCAUACAAUUCCUGUUUAAAUUAUGAUUUUCUUAUAUUAGUUUAAUUUUUUAAUUAUCUAUGACUUUAUGCUUAUAAAAGGCUUGCAAUUCAACAUUAUUAAGCAGCACAAAAGAGAGAGAAUAACUAAGAGAGUUUAAAGAGAAAGACUUAAUAAAAGUAUACCUUCCUCUCAAUAUUCUUUUUGUUCUUAAGUUUUUGACUUUGCAUUACUGUUUUUGAUCUUAUGUCACACUUAUCUUUCUUCCAAUAAGUGGUAUUAGAGCUUGUUUUAGUUGUUUAUCAUGGCCAAUCCAAACUUCCCACUUCAAUAUCCUUGUUUGAUAGAAGAUAACUACGAAACUUGGUGUAUUAGAGUAAAAGCUUGGCUAGGUUUCUAAGAUGUAUGGGAAAUGGUUGAGAAAGGCUUUAAGGAUCCUAUAGAAAGAGCAAUGUGAACUUUUACUUAAAGGGAAGCUGUGCAAAAGGCACGAAAGAAGGAUAAAAAAAGCACUCACAAUCAUUCGCUAAUGUUUGGAUGAUGCCACUUUUGAGAUAAGACAAACACAACCACCGCCAAGCAAGCAUAAGAAGUUUUGCAACAAUCAAACCCAGGUUUGACAAAACAAAGGUUAAAUGCUUUAUUUUAAAAGGUAAGUCAUUAUGCUAGGGAUUGCUAGAAUCCAACUAGAAGAGUUGAGGAGAAUGCCAAUUUUGUUGUAGAAAAGGAGAAAGAAGUCCCCCUAUUACCAGUCCAUUAUGAACAAAUGCAAGCCAAUAGAAUAUGUAGCAUCUAAACAAUGGUACCAUCAAUCACAUGUAUGGAGAUAAAGACAAGUUUAUGGAGCUUGAUGAAUCAAUUAAAGGUAAUGUCACCUUUACAAAUCAUUUAAAAGUUUUCAUCAAAGAAAAAAGUAUGAUUCUCAUAAAAUUGAAAAAAUAAAAGUCAUUAAUUUAUUGGUGAUGUCUAUUAUAUCCCCAUUGUAAAGAGAAAUAUAUUGAGUUUGAGACAAUUAUUGGAGAAGAGUUAUGAGAUUAAGAUGAAAGAUUGUAUAUUGACAUUACUUGAUACUUAUGGAGCUAUGAUUACAAAGGUAAUCAUGACAAAAAAAAAAACAUAAUGUUUUUGCUAAACAUAGAGAUGGAUGUGCCUCAUUGCUUAAAGGCAUGUGUGAAAGAUGAGACUUGGCUUUGACAUAUGAGACUCAGGCAUGUAAACUUUGAUAUCUUAAAGAUGAUGGCACAAAAAGAGAUGUUGAAGGGUCUACAACCCAUUAUACAUCCAAAUCAGUUGUGUGAAGGAUGUUUACUAGGCAAACAAUUUUGCAAGAGCUUUCCAAAUGAGUUUAUAUCUAGAGCAAGUCAACCUCUACUAGAGAUACAUGCAGAUGUUUGUGGUCUUAUCAAACCAUGUUUGUUUGGUAAAAAUCUGUAUUUUCCAUUUUUUUAUUGAUAAUUAUAGUAGAAAAAGUUUUAAAAGAAAAAUCUAAUGUGUUUAAUUGUUUUAAGAAGUUUAAGACAUUAUAGUUGAAAAAAAAAGUGAUUAGUCUAUAAAAUCACUUAGGACGGAUAUGGGGUGGAUUUCAUUCUAAUAAUUUUAAUGAGUCUUGUGAAGAUCAUGGUAUAAAGAGACUCUUAAUGAUGCCUAGAUCCCCACAACAAAAUGGUGUGGUGAAGAGAAAUAAUAGAAGUAUCCUUAACAUGGUAAGAAACAUGCUCAAAACCAAGAAGAUGCCUAAAGAAUUUUGGGUUAAAGUUAUAGAUUAUGCUAUCUAUUUGUCAAAUAGGUGUCUUACUACAGGUUUGAAUGACAUAACUCUAUAAGAGGCAUGAAAUGGAAGAAAGCCAAGUGCUACUCACUUGAAAGAAUUUGGAAGCAUUAACUAUAUGCAUAUAGAUGAUCAAGUAAGGACUAAGCUAGAUGACAAGAUCAAAAGGAUGAUGUUUGUGGGCUAUAACCAAAAGUCUAAAUGAUAAAACCUCUACAACCCCAAUGAAGGAAAGAUGGUGAUUAAAGAGAUGUUGAGUUUGAUGGAGAAAAAACAUGAGAUUGGAAAGUAGAUGAUGGUGAUAAAUAUAAUUUUCUAUCGGUUCUUGAUAAAGGAGAAAAGAGAUAUGAAGAUCAUUAAUAAUGAGCUACACCUUUACAAUCACCAAUGGUGUCAUCUUCACCUUUAUCUUCUUUUUUUAGCAGAAGUUCAAGUAGUGGUAACCCAUCAAGUUCACCAAGAAGGAUAAAGAUUUUUAAUGAGCUAUACGAGGUAACUACUUUUAUUGAUUAUGAUGUGAUACUAUAUUGUUUCCUUGCUAUAUAUGAUCCUAUAGUAUUUAAAGAAGCAAUACAGAAUGCAAAAUGAAGAAUUACUAUGAACGAAGAGAUUGCAUCAAUUGAGAAGAAUGACACAUAAAAAUUAGUUCCUAGAUCAACUAGAAAGAAGCUAAUGGGUGUCAAAUAGAUCUAUAAAGAAAAGAAAAAUGCCUAAGGAUAAGUGGAGAGGUAUAAGGCAAGGUUAGUGGUAAAAAAAACUAUAGUCAAAAGCAUGAGAUUAACUAUGUUGAAGUGUUUGCUCUAGUUGCUAGAUUGAAGACCAUUCAACUAAUCAUUGUCAUAAUUGUCUAACAUAAAUGGAGAAUAUAUCAAAUGGAUGUAAAAUCAGCCUUUCUCAAUGGUUUUCUCAAUUAAUCAUUGAGCAACCCAUGAGUUAUAAAGUGAAGGGAUAUGAAGACAAGAUAUUAAAGUUGAACAAAGCCUUAUAUGGAUUGAAGCAAGCCCCAAGAGCUUGGUAUAGUCGCAUUGAUGAUUAUUUCUUAAAGAAAGGAUUUGUAGAAUGCACUCAUGAACAUUCUAUCUAUAUGAAGAUAAAAAAAAAUGAUGAUACUCUUAUUGUAUGUAGAUGACUUGAUCUUUACAGGAAAUAAUCUAAAAAUGUUUGGAGACUUCAAACAAACAAGCAAUGGUCAAGGAGUUUGAGAUGACAGACAAUGGUCAUAUGGCAUACUACUUAGGGAUUGAGAUCAAACAAUGAGAGGAUGAAAUUUUUGUAAGCUAAAACAAGUUUGUAAAAGAGAUUCUUCAUAUUCAAGAUAGAGGAUUGUGGAAAAGUGAAUACUCUAAUUGAGUGUGGAGUGAAGAUGUCAAAUAAUGAUAAAGGGGAGAAGAUAAACUCUACAACAUUCAAAAGCCUAGUUAGGAGUUUGAGAAAUUUGACAUGCACUCGUCCAAAUAUUCUUUUUGGAGUAUAACUUGUGAAUAGAUUUAUGAAGACACCAACCAUGACACAAUUCAAAGUUUUGAAUCGAAUUCUUUGAUAUAUCAAAGAUCCUAUUUAUUUUGGCUUAUUUUAUGAAUAUUAUAAUAGAUUUGAUCUUGUGGGUUAUAAUGAUAGUGAUUGGGCUAGAAAUAUGGAUGAUAGAAAGAGCACUACUGAUUUUGUUUUUUAUAUGGGAGACACAACAUUCACAUGGAGUUCCAAAAAAAAAAACAAUCUAUAAUCACUUUAUCAACAUGUGAAGAUGAAUAUGUAGCUAUUACAUGAUGUGUUUGUCAUUCCAUAUGGCUAAGAAGAUUAUUGAAAGAAUUGUGAAUGCCACAAGAGAAGCCUACAAAGAUUUAUAUGGAUAACUCAUCAGUCAUUGCCUUAGUUAAAAAUCCAGUUUUUUAUGACAAAAGUAAGCACAUUGACACAAGGUUUCAUUACCUAAGAGAUUACAUUACAGAUAAGGAAGUUGAAGUCAAGUAUAUGAAGAUACAAUAUCAAAUUACAAAUAUCUUCACAAAGCCACUGAAAAAUAAGAGGUAUGUUAGGAGUUAUAAAAAAAUCAAGUUUAAGAGGGGGUGUUGAAAAUUAAACUCAAUUUCUUGUUUUUCUGAAUAACAGAGAAACCAGUGCACCGAUUGAAUUAAAUAAAUCAGUCAUCCAGUUGAGAAACAUUCGAUUAGUUCAAUCGACAAAUAGAAUUCCUAAACAAUAUAUAUACCUUCCUUUAAAUCUUCUUUUCCUUCUUAAGUCUUUGACUUUACAUUAUUAUUUUUAAUCUUAUAAUAUUUAUUUUUAAUCUUAUAGCACACCUAUCUUUCUUCCAACACAUCCUAUAUCUGCUAUGUUGCUAGCACAAAACACUCAGGUAUUGUUUCUAUGUAUAUUAUAAUGUUUCCUGGCACUUGAUGCCAUUCAGUUGCUUGGUUAUGGAUGGGCUGGUACGUUCAGAAAAAUUCUCGAGGAUUCGCCUUACAUGUGGUGGCCUGCAACCCUUAUCCAAUCUCUCUAUUCAGGCAUGUACUACUGCGAUCUCUCUAGAUCUUUCUUCCCUUGUGUAAUCGUGCAUGCAUAUUUAUGCAAACUGCGGGGCAUUGCAUGAGAAGGAAAAGAGAAAAAAAGGAGAACGUACAAGGCUGCAAUUCUUUGCCAUUGUCUUCGUUGCAAGCUUUGCUUACUAUAUUGUUCCUGGCCACUUUUUCCCUUCACUAUCAGCUCUCUCCUUAAUUUGUUUGCUGGAUAUGGAAGCGCUCGGUCACCGCUCAACAGAUUGGUGCAGGGUUAAAUGGUCUUGGAAUUGGCUUUUUGUUUUUUUCAAUUUCAAGACGCAACAACAAGAGAAGACAAAGAAUUAUUACAGAGAGUAAGGCAAAUCUAAGAGGGUGAGAUCCUCUCUUGGGAUCGAGACCGAAAAGAGAAGGAAUUAUUGCAGAGAGCUUGGGCAUGACUUUGAGAAGGGAAGGCUUCUUGUUCUACUUCGGUUUUCGAAGAGGGAAUUAACGGCUGUUUUGGUUUUGACUUUGGCUUUUUUCAUAGAUACGUAGGAAUAGCAUUUUAGUAAAAGAAAAGGAAUUUUAGUUAUUGUUUUGGUUGUCCUCUUGGAGUUGUUAAAACAAAGAAUGAAGUGAGAUUUUUUUUUCUUCUUGGCUUCAGGCAUUGGAGAUGCCCUUACCUCGUGUAUUUAUAGCAUAUACAUCAUUAGACUAGAAUCCUUCAAAGUAGGUAAAUCCUGGCUGGCCCCAUUGGCCUAGUUUUUUGUCAGAAAAUGAUGCAGGAUUCAUUUCUUUUUCAUAUGAAUCAUCAGAUGCAUGUUUACUAAGUUGGCGGAAAACCAAAUUUAGGCAAGGGCUUCCUUGACUGUGAAUGAAUGGCUAUUACAUAAUAGAAUUUGUCUUUUUAUUGCAAACUGUCAGUCAAUGCUAGAAUAUAGAAGGCAUGUUCCAAAUAAGGACAACGUAGGAUCUGUAUAUAUAGGUUUGAUAAUGUUUGUGUUGCUUUGAAGGACUAUCGAUCCUCAUCCUCUCUCUCCCUGGGAAAACAAAUUAGGAGACAUAGAGAGGGAAGCUAAGAAACAUGGCAAAUUUAGUCGACGAAGCAGCGCCCCAAUUCAAGUUGCCUGAUCAUGAGAAGCAUCAUUUUGAAAUUGACGAAGCAGGUAAUCAACCAUAUGCAUCUCCUCUUCUCUCUCAUAUAUAUAUAUAUAUGGUUUUUGUUCAGAAAAAGUUGUUUUGUUAAAUACUGCUAUACAAUAUUUUUUCACAGACAAAUAUUAAAGUUGAAGAUGCUUGCUUUGUAAACAUUUAAUAUUUUUAGCAUGCAUGGUUAAGUCGGGUACAGUUUGUAAUGAAUAAUAUUUUAUGGCUUGCUUAUGUAGAGGCUGAAGAAGUGAACGAUAAUCCAAUUGAGCAAGUCAGGCUUACAGUUCCAAUCACCGAUGACCCUACACAGGCAGUCUUAACAUUUCGAACAUGGGUUCUUGGGUUGGCAGCGUGCAUCCUUCUUUCCUUUGUGAAUCAAUUCUUCCAGUAUCGUUCUAAUCAGCUAUCUAUCGGUUCAGUUACAAUACAGAUUCUUGUUCUCCCCAUAGGAAAGUUCAUGGCUGCAAAACUCCCAAAGAAACAAAUCUCGAUCCCAUUUACAAAAUGCUCAUUUUCAUUGAAUCCAGGGCCUUUCAACAUGAAAGAACAUGUAUUGAUCACCAUAUUUGCCAACUGUGGAGCCGGUGGUGUAUAUGCAGUGUACAUUAUUACAAUUAUCAAAGCCUUCUACCACAGAGGGCUCCAUCCUGUCGCUGCUAUGUUGCUAGCACAAACCACUCAGGUAUAAAACACACACACACACAUGUCAAAUGUUUCUAUGUAUCUUAUAAUGUUUCCUGGCACUUGAUGCAAUUCAGUUGCUUGGUUAUGGAUGGGCUGGUACGUUCAGAAACAUUCUUGUGGAUUCGCCUUACAUGUGGUGGCCUGCAACCCUUAUCCAAGUCUCUCUAUUCAGGUAAGUACUGCUUCGAUCUCUCUAGAUCUUUCUUCCCUUAUCUUGAAAAAACCUCUAUGGAAAGUCUGUUAAUUAAACACUUGUGUAAUGGUGCGUGUAAUGGUGCAUGUAUAUUUAUGCAAACUGCAGGGCAUUGCAUGAGAAGGAAAAGAGAAAAAAGGGAGAACGUACAAGGCUGCAAUUCUUUGCCGUUGUCUUCGUUGCAAGCUUUGCUUACUAUAUUGUUCCUGGCCACUUUUUCCCUUCACUAUCAGCUCUCUCCUUUGUUUGCUGGAUAUGGAAGCGCUCGAUCACCGCUCAACAGAUCGGUGCAGGGUUAAAUGGUCUUGGAAUUGGCUCCUUUGGUCUUGACUGGGCGACUGUUGCCUCUUUCUUGGGAACUCCUCUAGCUUACCCUUUCUUUGCCAUUGUCAAUACUAUGGUUGGUUUCAUCUUGGUUAUGUAUGUCCUUGUCCCCAUAGCAUACUGGUCUAACUUUCGUGAAGCCAAGCGAUUUCCCAUAUUUACCUCUCACACUUUUGAUGAAGAUGGUCAGAUAUUCAACAUUACCCGUGUUCUUAAUGAGAAAACAUUCGACCUUAAUCUAGUGGAAUACGAGAAUUAUAGCAAACUCUAUUUAAGUAUCUUCUUCGCCUUCUUAUAUGGAUUGAGUUUUGCAUCUCUAACAGCUACCCUUACUCAUGUUGCUCUUUUUGACGGAAAGUAAGUCAUCUUCCUCAACAUUAAUUUUAUUUAAUUCCAGCCUAAUUAAUUAUUUUUUGUUUGUUUGUUUUGAUAUAGAAUUUUCUUUUGAGCAGAAAUAUCAUAAACAUGUGGAAGAAGACGACAACUGCAGUGAAAGACGAGUUUAGUGAUGUGCACACAAGAAUUAUGAAGAAGAACUAUGCAGUAGUCCCUCAAUGGUGGUUUACUGCCAUCUUGGUUAUAUCACUGGCUCUUUCGCUUCUGGCUGUGGAAGGUUUUGACCAUCAGCUUCAGCUUCCUUGGUGGGGACUUCUCCUAGCCUGUUUCAUUGCUCUAAUAUUCACCUUACCCGUUGGAGUCGUUCAGGCGACAACAAACAUGGUAUGAUCUUGUCUUUUGGGAAGCAAUAGACACACACACACUCCAUCACUCAUGAACUGUGUAAACAUUUAUGCAGCAAAUCGGACUGAAUGUGAUCACAGAAUUGGUUAUUGGGUACAUGUACCCAGGGAAGCCUCUUGCUAAUGUGGCUUUCAAGACGUAUGGCUACAUUAGCAUGACACAAGCGCUCAGUUUUCUCGGUGACUUCAAAAUAGGGCACUAUAUGAAGAUCCCCCCCAAAUCUAUGUUCAUUGUACAGGUAAAUCUUUAUGCUCAUCACCCUCUAACUAGUCUAUUUCAUUUAAAUAUAGGAUACUAAUUUGGUUUUAUUGUGUCUACAGCUAGUUGGAACAGUAGUUUCUUCCUUUGUUUACUUUGCCACAGCAUGGUGGCUUCUCUCAUCUGUUGAAAACAUCUGCAAUCCAGACUUGCUUCCUGAUGGGAGUCCUUGGACCUGUCCUGGAAGCGAUGUCUUCUACAAUGCUUCAAUCAUCUGGGGAGUAGUAGGACCUCUCAGAAUGUUCACAGACAAGGGAGUCUACCCGGAGCAGAACUGGUGGUUCCUCAUUGGUUUCCUUGCCCCAUUUCCAAUGUGGUUUCUCCAGCGCAAAUUCCCUGAGAAAAAAUGGAUCAAGUUGAUUCACAUUCCCCUUAUCCUUAGUGCCUCAUCAGCCAUGCCAUCAGCGAAAACUGUGCACUACUGGUCUUGGGCAUUUGUUGGAUUUAUCUUCAACUACAUUAUUUACAGGAGGUACAAGGGAUGGUGGGCUAAGCACACCUACAUCUUAUCAGCUGCUUUGGAUGCUGGUGUUGCCUUCUUGGGAGUUAUCCUUUAUUUUACCCUUCAAUCCAAGGAUAUUUAUGGCCCAGCUUGGUGGGGUGCUGACGUUUCUGACCAUUGUCCAUUGGCAAAAUGUCCUACAGCAGCAGGGAUUAAGGUCAAGGGAUGCCCUGUUCUCUAAGAAAGAUUGAGAAAUUCUACAUCUUUUAAACUAUAGGAAUUUGCGCAAGGAAACUAUAUGAAAAAUUUGGUCGGUGACGUUGAUAGAGACUGCUUAAGGGAAAUAAAGAAGACAAAGCAGUGAAGUUCAUUAAUUCAGAAGAUGUUUAGUCAAACACGCACAGCAGUUGUACAUAACAAUUAACAUGUUGUCUUCAUUCUAUAUUCCUAUUAUUGGUUUUCUUUUUUCUUUUUCAAUUUAUCGUAUGAUCUCAAUGAUACCAGUCUCUGCUUCUACAAAUGCUAGAAUGCAUCUAAAAAGUUCUGCAACUUUUCCAUGAUCGUUGAUGAUAUCCUUUGGCAAAGGAAUAUUCAAUAUUUUUUUAUCGAAAAAACGAAGGAAUUGAAGAGGACCUUAAUAAUGCAAUAUUUCAAGGGUAAAUUCUUUGAUUUUUCAGAAACGAAACAUCAAGCCAUCAAAUGCAAUCAAUUAAUAAUAGAAAAUUUUCCUAUCUUCAUCAUCAAGAAAAAAAAGAAAAGAAAAAGAAAAGAAAAAGAGAUUUUUACCUUCAGAAUUGCCUUCAUAGUCUCUCAAUUUCACCCAAAUUCUUUUCUCCCCAAAUUCUUUUCUCCCAUUUCUCUAUCUCACCACCCUUGUUUUUGUAAUCUUUUAAUUACAUUCUCUUUUUGAUGUAGAUGAGCUUGUGAAAAUCAAAAGUUAUGAACAUUUGGGUAAGAAUAUGACAUAAUGAGAUGGAAAUCUAACACUGACAUGCUAUAUGAAUAGUCUAACAUAUCCUUGAAUAGCACGUGUAGAGGUUUCUAUAUAAGUGAACCUUCAGCCAUAUACAGAAGGGUUCUUUCCUUUCGACUGUGAAAAUCUUCACUGGACGGGGAAAGAAAGAGAGGAAAAAGAAAAACAUAGCAGAGGAGUAAAGAGAGAGAGGAGAAAGAAAACAGAGUGAGGCGAGAAGAUAAUAAAAAAGAAAGAAAACAGAGGGAAUAAGAAGAAGGCUGAGAAUAAAAAACUAAGAGAACAAAAGAGGAAGUCUUUCUUUGGUUAUCAGAGGCAAAAGGCAGAAGUUUUUCCAUCGGUUUGUGUCUCAUCUUCUACAUUCAAAAUGUGUAAGAUCCGCAGGUAUGAGUCGAUUUCCUUUCUCUUUGACAUAUUUAAAGCUAUUUGUUUGGUUUUGUUUCUUUUCAAAAACUUGUUUCUACUUUUGUUUCGGGCGUUUUUUUUUUCUAUUUUGACAACAAAGUUGUGUUGCUUGUCUAUUGUUUUUUUCUUCCAUGGUUUAAAGCUUAGAAGGAAGGUUUGUGUAUUCUUUGUUUUUACUUCUCGUUGUGAGGAACCAUGAGCCUCAUAGGUCUUCAUCAUCCCUGCACUCCUUGCUCGGCUGUCUUGAUGUCCUAGAAUAUUGCAUAGGAGAGUUUUCUUCUAAACAUAACUUCGUCCAGAGGAGAACAUAAAAGCGCGAGAGCAUUUCCUUUGUAGGGUUUGGUCUUUUUAGGCAGGCACUUUUGGUUAUGUUUUUUCCUUCCUAUUCUUUCAAGGUGGUUUAGUCGGCCAUUUGAUUUUUUGUUUAUCUAGUUUAGUCUUUAAUAUACGGGGUAUAGAGGCAUGUUUUCCAGGUUUCUUUCCUCUUGCAUGAAACUAGCAUGGUAGUGUCAGAGAUUAGGAAAAAAGGAUAGGCAUGAGACACGGUUUCUGUUUCUGUUAUAAGGCUUUGAGUUCAACUUUUUUUUUAUGCAUGAGGACUUGUGCUUUUCUUUUGAGAAUAAUAGGCAGACUUAUAUUCAGGCUUCAAGUUUAAGUUCCUAUGUUAGGUCUCAAUUGUUUGAUUUGAAUUGUUUUAAGCUUCCUACAAAUUUUGGAAUAUAUAUGUGUACGGUUUGUUUCUUUAAUUGUGAUACUUGGUUUAAUUGUGUUGUUUGUGUUUCGACAAAACAUAAAAAUUUUCUUGUAUGUUGCAUACGGUCAAUACUCAAACAUAUUUUGAACAUUUCUUUUAAAAAAAAAUAUUCAAAGUUUAAAAGAAAAUGUGUUUUAGCAUGGAUUUCUUAAAUACAAAAAUUAUUUUCUUGUAUUUUGGAUUUUACAAUAUGUUUGUAAACUCUAAAGGGUGUUGGCCAAUAUUACAAAAAUAUAAAAAUCUUAUUUUUAGAGAAUUGAUCUUCAUUCACCAUUAAUAUUUGGAUAGAAAAAUCUAAAAGGGUUAAUAUCUAAAAUAUUAUUGGGAAUAAUUUGCUAUUAUUCACUGUUAAUAUCUGGAUAAAGAAACCUCAAGUGGUUAAUAUCCAAAAUAUUUUUCUAGAAAUAACAAGUCAUUAUCCCUUAAUAAUAUAAGGGCAAAGAGUUCUAUGAAAGGUAAAUGUCCAAAAUAUUGUUGAGAGUAAUACAACUUGUUCAUUUUUAACAUAAGGGCAGAUUUAUGCCUAAAAUAUUCUUUAGAACAAUUUAAUUGCACAUCCUUGAAAGAAGCCUCAAUUAUAAUUGGGGACAUUUCAAAUUUUGAUUCCACGGUUUAUGAGUUGUGAAAGUGUGAAAUACUAAGGGAAAAUUGACAAUUUAAUUGCACAUCCUUGAAAGAAGCCUCAAUUAUAAUUGGGGACAUUUCAAAUUUUGAUUCCCCAGUUUAUGAGUCGUGAAAGUAAGAAAUACUAAGGCAAAAAUAGGCUUUUAAAACACCUUGAAUUUUCUUAGAUUUCUAACUUAGUUUUUUUUUUGUUUCUUUUUCUUGCGAUUUACGAGUCGCGAACACUUAAAAUAUUAAAGUGGAAAAUGAGCUUUUAAGCACAUUGAAUCUCCUUAGAUUUCCAUCUUAGCUAUCUCUUAAUUCAUAGGUUGUAAAUUUAUUUCAAAUCAAACACAGAUUCAAGAGAUAUGUAUCAGUUCUCCUUGACACUAUAUAAACAUAUCUAAAGGUAUGAUUCAUAUUGGCCAAGAAUUCUUUCUUUUAGACUUUGAACCCAAGUCCAUUCAUCAUAGCAAACUCAUCUUAGGAAAAUUGAUUAGAGAACACCAACACCAUAGCAAUUAUAAGGCAAACCAAACACCAAGCAAAUUACCUUAGGUAGGGCGUACUAGUGGUGCUAAAACUUUCCAUUUACGCAACCAGUUCCUUGCCUUAGAAUCUCUAAAGACCAGUUAGGGUUCCUAGUGACCAUAAUACUAGGUGACGACUUCUUUUUUCAUAAAAUAAAGACCCUGAAAUCAAUUCCCCUGCUCCGGGAAGGGUCGCCGCGACGCCGCACUCUCGCGAAGGUGCAACAGACACGAUGAUUAACCAAGACUAUUAAAAUGAUCAAAACAUCCUCGUGUGGAAAAGUUACUCCCUCAAUGUCUUCUAGGGUAAACAUAAUAAUUUCAUGACAUGCAUUUGGAAGGCGAGCAGUAGUAAGGACUUACUUUUUAUAUUUCCUUUUUCCACUUCCACUAUCACCUCUUGUCGAGAUUCCACCUAAAAUAACAUUAAUCUCCAACAAUACUUGGUUGGGUUGGUUGGACUCUUCUCCGUAUAGGUCAGCACGGGUAUCCCUCCUUACAAACUGUUGGACAUAGCCCUUGGCUAUUGCUUGACCGCUUUUUAUGUUCGGCUUGUUUUAACUCGCAAGUGCACGAGUGUGCGAUGUAGCAAUUAACUCGGUAAGAUCGAGGUCAUAUCCACAGAGAGCUAGAUCUGGAAAUUAAGUUAGGUAACAAAAGAAACUCAAGAGAAAUUAAAUUAACAAUAACUUGGUUGAAAAUGAUUGAUGGAUUUGUUUUCAAAGAUGAAAAGGUGUAAAUAGAUUUUAAAUGACAAGAAAAAGUAAGUCUUGGUCCAAAUCAAUUCUAAUGGUGAUGUAUUGGUGAUUCCUUCAACAUAUAAAAGAUAACUCAACCUAAUAUCAACGAUGGUGAUAUUAGAUCGGAAGAUAUUACAAUGAAGUUUAAAAAGAUGAAGAUUGAUUAUUGCUUAAGAAUGAACAAGUACUUUCAUAUUAAGUAAGACAUUGAAUCAAGCAAUCUCUAUACCAAAACUAAGGUUUGUGCAUAAAAAUUCAAGAUUAUAACAUUACCUAAAUGAUUUCUAAAAUUUCUUUGCAAUAAUAAAACAUUCAUGAAGAAAAUAAGAAGAUAAACAUUAAGAUUCAUUCAUAUAUUAAAGAACUCACCUCAAUCACCAUCAUCCUUGAUUUGGAUCCAAGAAGGAGAUUAGCCAACCAUGAUUAUAUAUAAGAACUCUUCAAUAAACAUGAAAUAACUUGAAUCACACUGAAAUAAUAAGUUUUACAAGCUAAAGAACCGAAAUCUAUAAAGAAGAAUACAACACAAUUUCAGUAAAUAUUCGGACACAAAUUUGACUCUAACUUUGGACAGCAAUUCGACCCUUUUAGAAGCCUCUUUUGAAGAUGGCUAUUAAAGACAUAUUUAUAGGCCAUUCGGUUAGCUUUCCAGAUCAUUAAAGAACAGAUCAUUUGGACAUCUGAGUCAAAAGUUAUGUGCAAAACACCAAAAGGUAUUCUGGAAAAUCAAAUCAGGCCAGCUUGGAGAACACUUUGGUGCACGUUUUUCUUCCUCCUUUGUGAGCUGUCUCUUUCUUCUUUUUGACCAAAAAUAAUGUGACAAUGUCCCCUCCAGCUUUCCAUCCAUGUGCUUGCCCUCUUGGAUCAAUGAAUUAUCCAAAAUAAAUCAAAUGUUAUUUGUUGUGUGGACAUGUAAGAUCAUGGAUUGUGCUUAGGCUGAUUUGGAGGCUGAUUUGAGGCUGAUUUGGGGCUGAUUUGGGGCUGAAUUUAAGCAUCAAAUAAGGAUACAAAUGUACCUAUUAUUUGGGCUAAGAUUGACAUUAAAACCUUGAGUGUUUGAUGGUUGAAGUUUGCACACAACAUAAGGCAAGUUUGGGCUUGAAAUGGAUCAUAUGAUAUUCUUUUCUAGAAUUGGAAUAGAAUUGAUUUUUGGGGCAAAUUUGGAGCACUUAUUUGAACCAAGAUUUUCUUCAAUCUUCAACUAAAUUUCUCUUCAAUUCUUUGUUCCGAAUUCCGACGUUGAAUUUUCUGAAAUAAUUCAUUUAAGCUCCAAAAACCUAUCGAAACAUUAAAAGAAACUUCAUUACUAAAAAGCACAUCAAUUAUUAUAAAAAAACCCAAAUAAAAACAAUAAAUACAUAUGUACAAUAAGAGACUUAAUGAUACUUUUGAUGCACAAUCAGCUAUCAACCGCUCAAUCUCAUUCUUCAAGGUAUAGCAUUGUUCGAUUUCAUGCCCCUUAUCCCAGGAGAACAUGCAAUACUUAUUAGAGGUUCGUGUAUACGGAGUGGUUUUCAUUGGCAGCGGAUAUUGGACAAAUUCAUUACCUAUAAUUAUGGUAUAGACUUGAAUGAUAAUGGUGUUCAAUGAAGUGAAAAACCUAUCAGGAUAUGGCAAUUGAUUAUGGGAUGACCUUAAAGAUCGAGUUCUGAAUAGGGGAACGAUUCUACCUAGAAGGUCCUUCAGGUUGACUAUCCUUAUAAAAACAGGGAGGUUCGUAUCGCAACACACUUGCCUCUUCCACCUGUAUAUGAUUCUUCAUGACUUGUUUCACCUUAAGCAAAUAUUUUUUAGGUAAGGCAUAAAGGUCUCUAUUGAUUAUAGCCUUUAAGCCCCUGGCUUAAUCAACUCUUCCACUUUAAGAAUCUCCUCAUUAAACCUCUUCAAAUAUACCCUUAUGGAUUCACCAUCUGAUUGGGUAACCCCAAAAACCUUUAUAGAACUCUUCUUUAUAGGUAUAUUUGUAUUGAAAUACGCUACCAGUUUAGGUCAUAGAUCUCUGAAUUCUUCAAAAGAAUCUAGUUCCAAGUUGUUACACUAGGCACAUGCAGACUCUCUAAAGGUUAUAUGGAGUAUUUCACAUUGCGUCACUAUCUUAAAUUACCAACUCCAAGCUACUAAGCAUAUUUUGCACACGUUCUCUUGGAUCGACAAGACCAUCAUAGUUAUCCAAGCUCAUAGUUAUAGAGAUAUAGUCUUGAGGAAUCCGAUUAUUCAAUACUUUUCUAGACAAAGGGAAGCCCUGCACAUGAUGGAGUUGUAGGUAGCUUCUUGGAUAUGCUCAAAGGUUGAUCACCUUUCGAUUUUUUAUCUGCUGGGUUCCAGGGUGCAAAAGUACUGUGGUGUGGAAUAGAAGGAGUGGUGAUUGUUAUCUGUCUCAUAAUAAUGACAAGUAGCACGCCUUGAAUACCUGUUUUAUGUAAAGGUAUCACAAUGAUAAGAGUGAUCCCUCUUGGGACUUGAGCCCACAGGUGAUGGAUAUGAUCUGAGUAAUUAGGCCCAUGACUAUUAUGGGCUUGUGCUAAAAGUGAUCUUUCUAUGUAGUAUUAAAAAAUACUAAUAAAUCUUGAUCCAUCACAAGGGAUGAGAAAAUAUUUGUUGGGUAUAAGAGAAUGAGAGGGAGAGAGCACAAACAAAAGCAACUUUGGUUAAAGGGAGGAUAGAGAGAUGAGUGUUGGAUUUGAUAAAACAGGCAUGAAGUUGUUUUACCUCAAAUAUAGUGUUGGAAUUGUGGAUAAAGAGAUCAUUAUUUUUUAGGUUUUGAGAAGUGAGGGAUGAUGGUGGGAAAUAGAUAAGGGAAUAAGAUAGAGAGGAAGAGGACAUAAUUUCCUUAUCCAUUUUUAGUUCAUAUUUACAUAUUAUUCUUGGACAAACUGGGCAGCAUACAAAAUGAAAAGAAAUGGUGAAUCAACGCAGCAGCAAAAAGUUUAGAUGAAAUAGCACAUUUUUUAUGUCGUGGUUCUAAAUUUUGAUAUUUAAUUAAUGUCGUGAUUCAAAAAUGCAAAAUUUGAUUAAAUGUUGUGUUUCUGAACAGUGAAAUCAAUUAAAAUUUUAUCACGAUUUAGAACCGUGACAUUUAAUCAAAUGUCUCAUUUUAAAUCACGAUAAAAUUUUAAUUGAUAUGAUACUAUUAUUUACAUCAGGAACAAUAGUGCCAGCAUAAUAAUAUAACAUAAAUAUGUUAUAAGAGAAACAAAUCAGAUUCUAGUCAAUUAGACGUAAUUUUAACUAAAUUACAUUACUCCAACCCUAAUUGACAAAAUUCAUAGCAAAUUCAAUUAAAUUCUCAAAAUUUAACAUAAAAGCAAACUUCACCAAAAUUAAAUAUAAUUCAUGAUAUGAAAUCUAAUGGAUAUUUUCAUAAUUAAUUGUAUUAAAUCAAACCCAUAUUCAUAGAAAAUUAAAAUAAUUCAAAGAAAAUAUCAAAUUCAUCAACUUAUCAUUAAUCCUAUACAACGUGUAAUUUGUCAUAAUCUUACUGUAUUCAUGUUCUAUUGCUUGAAAUUGUCAAGCAUAGUUAAUUAUAUUAUUAGCUGAUUCUAACAAUCCACCCAAAAUCUCUAAUUUAGCAACUUAUCCAAAAUUAAAUGCAACACAUAAUUAAUUUAAUAUUAAUAUAACUUAUUUUCAUAUUCUACUACAUCCUAUCAACCCUAAUUGAUGAUAUUUUAAACUAAUUUAUCAUUACUUCAACAAACCCUAAAUUCUUCGUUCUUCUCAUAUCCACACAAAAUCUGAGUUUUUUUUUCAAUUUCAUCCCUUAGAAUUUGAUUUUUAUACCAACUACGAUCCUUAUUUUAUUGAUUGUUAUUUGUUCUUCUCUUAUCCUUUUCUUAAUUGAAAUUUUUUAUUUAUCAAAUUUUAUACAUAUUCUUUUAAUUGCUAUUUAUUUUAUAUGAAAUAAUUUAUAAAAUUGAUUUUUUAAAAUUUUAUCCUCUUUUGAUUUUUUUUUAUUUGUUAGAUUUAGUCUCUAUUCUUUUGAUUGCUAUUUGUUUUAUUUGAAAUAAUUUAUGCAAUUGGAUUUUUUUUCCAAUUUCAUCCUCCUUUAAUUUUUUUAUGUAUGUCACAUUUGGUCCUUGUUCUUUUAAUAAACUUGAAAAAAAAUAAAAAAUUAAAAAGUUAUUUUUCAGUUCAUUUUCAAUGACAUAGCCAAAUACCGAAAAGUGUUUUCCAACUUAUUUUCCAUGACACUACCAAACAUCAAAAAAUAAUUUGAUUUCUAAGAACUCAUUUUUCAUUACAACCACUUUUCAAAAGAAAACUACUUUCCAGCAAAUAAACGGGGACUAACUGUUGAAUUGAUUUCGUCAAAGUUGUCCACAACAAGGCUUUGGCAAUGGCUACGUUAAAUGUCAUUCGACUAUUUAAGUGGGUCAUGUUACGCCGUGUGCCUAGUCAAAUUUUUUCAAUGUAAAAAAAAAAUGUCUAGGUGGUGAUAACCUUAAGCAACUUGGGAUAAUUUGAUUAACUCGCUACCCGAGAUAUGAGAUCGGGAUAACCAUGUAAAAAGAAAAGAGGAAUAAACCAUAAAUCUCAAUGCUCAAUAAUCUAAUGUUAAAGGAUGACAUUGAGGGAAAAAAACAUCAAAGAAAAAAAAAUCCAAGUCAAUUCAGAUUAACUUGACUAACCUACUACACGUGAAACAAGAGUGGGAUAAGAAAUUUAAAUUAAAAAAAAGACAUAGAAUAAAAGACCGAAGUUAAAUCAAUACAAAAAUUUUGAAAAAGAAACAUAAGUCUACCUGGGUUAACUUUACUAACUCAAACCUGAGAUAACCUAAUAGAAAGGAAAGUGGAAAAAUCACAAAGCUGAAGAGCCUAUAAUUUAAUGUCAUAGGAUAAAGGUAAAAAAAAAUCAAUUUAAAAAAAUAUCAAGAAAAAAAAUUCAAAGAAAAAUCAAUUUGUAAAAAAGAAACUAAAAAAAAAAAGAUUGAACUUAAACGGGGCUAAAAUUCAAAACCAAUGACUCGAGUAAUGAGACUAGGAUUAACACAUAGAAGGCAAACACGAAAAAAUAAUGAAGCAAAAUUUCCAAUCUUAAAAUAAAUUAAAAAAAAAACAAACAAACAAAUAACAAUCAAAAUAAUGAGAACCAAAUCUAAUACAAAAACUAAAUGAAAGAAAAUAAUUAUGGAACAAACUCAAAAACAAAAUAAAAUAACCAAAUAAUAAAGAAAAUAGCAAUCAAGAGAAUGAAGACCAAGACUGUAAACAAAAAUUAAAUAAAAUAAAAUGUUAAAAUUGAAAAAAAAAACAAAAACAAACAAAAAAACAACAAUAAAAAAAAAAAAAGUCAACCACUACGAAUUAAACGCACACUCCACUUUCAUCGGCUGAACCACCAUGAAUUGAACACACGCUCCACAUCCAUCAAUUAUGCCUCCACCAGAGCUUUUGAGUGAUUAGUGGUUCGCCUUUUUUUUUUCUCGUCAAACGUCAUCACACAUGUUACCCAAAAAACACGGGUAGCAUUAUUAUACACACGCACCAAUAACUUUUUUAUUUUUAUGAGAUUUAUUAUUUAUUAAAAUACUAAUUUGCCCCUCAUGCAAAUUGAAAAUGAAAAAAAAAUCAUAAUAAAAAGAUAUAAAUACCCUGAUAGCAAGUUUUGCAUUUUUUUUUUUUAAGUAUUUUAAUCUUUUAGCUAUUUUGAUUAAAAAAAAAAACUGAAAUCCUUGUUAGCCAAACAAUUGUUUUUUAUUCCAAAGGUAAAUAGUAACUGCACUAUACAACAACAAUGUAAAAAUGUGAGGAAUUUAAUUCAUCUCAUUGAAUUUGAAAAUACCAAUUAAACUCAAUGAAAAAAUCAUUUUACCUCUUAAUCCACUCUUUUCUUGCUAUAAUUUGAACAAGAAAAAUAUCAUUACACUAUAAUCCACAAUAUAGCAAUGCCAUGUGUCUUCCUAUAGCAGAGCCCCUUUAUUUAUUUAUUUAUUUUUAUUUUUUUUCCUGAGGCUUGCCUUUCUCGAGUUAUUGGACUGCUAGCAUACUAGCAUAUUCUUAUUGAGAUGAGGUAGUGGGAGGCACUACCCCACAUCGACUACCAGCAUACUAGUUGGCCCUUUUUUCUAGCCUUACCUCUCCAGUACAAAUAUUCUUUUUGAAUUCAAUUGUAUGAGGGCUAAUGCUUUGCCCUCAAGAUCGCACAACGAGCUUCCAAUGAAGAACAGAUCACAUGAUAUAGCAUCAAUACAAGAACUCU
This 28533-nucleotide long non-coding RNA is filed under the name Populus trichocarpa (black cottonwood). RNAcentral's name for it is "long non-coding RNA (PTRI_LNC000363)". The stretch from base 1483 to 1620 matches the Rfam family "MIR480 microRNA precursor family". The record is from RNAcentral. Lineage: Eukaryota; Viridiplantae; Streptophyta; Magnoliopsida; Malpighiales; Salicaceae.